Molecule: long non-coding RNA, 659 nt
Organism: Corythoichthys intestinalis (scribbled pipefish)
Lineage: Eukaryota; Metazoa; Chordata; Actinopteri; Syngnathiformes; Syngnathidae
Exons: 3
Source: RefSeq, a predicted model, not a curated record
UCACGCACGAUGGUUGUUCCUCCAAGCUUUUCCGAAGGAAAGAGGUGUAUCCACGUCUCCCGGAGCUUCCGCCCUUCUCCCCCUAUCAUCACUUACUAAAACGAUGACCCCCCCUUCUUAAAUAUGAUUAGUUAAUAAUUCUUCAAUAGAAGCUGGACGUGACAGCAGUGAUUUUGCUGCAGGUCACAGGCCAACACCCGGAUGACCCAGAUACCAGGACUCUUGAUAUGUUGAUGUGAGACCAUUGCUGUUUCACACCUAGUCUAACGACUGGAUGAGCCUGAAAGCAAACAACUCUGAAGGCCAAACUAAGUUUUCUUCCGGUUACACAACAAUGCCAAUGGAGGGCGAAAAAAACAAAAAACAAUGCCAAUGGAGGUGGAACGCUUGAAUGUGGAUCUUCAGCUCAUCAACAUUGAACAACAAAUGUUGAUCAUACAAAUCUUGAGGCGCAAGCGACACAGAAGACAGUUUCGGAGGUGGUCUGUCCGACUGUUGAUGCCGCACGGAGACAUCUAGCCUCGAGUGGAAGCCAGCAAGCUGUGGUGGCUAGCUUCAAACUGGCGUCGAGCACUGUGUCCAGCGUUUUGUCCAAGGUCUGCAAAGCAUUGUGGACAGCACUGCAGCCCAUUUUUUUUUGCUGUGUCCUACAACCAGCC